Long non-coding RNA from Hordeum vulgare subsp. vulgare (domesticated barley), 2810 nucleotides. RefSeq lists it as uncharacterized. The transcript has 7 exons. The record is from RefSeq and is a predicted model, not a curated record. NCBI's taxonomy places the organism in Eukaryota, Viridiplantae, Streptophyta, Magnoliopsida, Poales, Poaceae.
UAUGGACGUGUUUGACAAAAAAACCAACCGAGUUGAGCGAUUGCGCCUCCCACCCCAUCUGGAUCCGCCAUGGGCCCACAUCCGGCGCCGCGCCGUCCUCCCCGCACACCGGCCUGCCUACUCUCCGUCGAACCCUCCUCCCAGCGCCAUCCGAGUCCUCCGCGCAUGACCCUGCCUCCAAUCCCCAUCUCCACCUCCUGCAGCGCUCCUCACCGUGCGUCGCCAUCGCCCCUGCCGCCGGCAACGACUAGAGCUUGCAGGGGCCAGAUCCAUGCGUGGAAGCGGCAGGGGAGGUUGAUCCUAAGCGGGCGGCGAGGCGGGGGUCACCGGAGAUGACGAGGAAGUAUGGAGCAAGGCAUCCGAUGACCUAGGCAGGAGCUCGCCAGAGUCGGGCGACAGCGGACGGGCACACAAGAUGAAGGGAUCCAGUGCGGUGGUGUGAAGUCCUUCCAGGUAGAUGUGGGCCUCCAUUGCUCGCAGGGAGAGCUCCAAGGUCGUGGCGGGGCUUAAGUUCCCCUGGUAUAGAAAAAAGAAACCAGAGAGGAAUGAGGGAGAAGAAGAAUGGGGGGAGAAGGACGGCUGGCCUUCUCGGCACAUGCCAUACGAUCUACAGGUUCGUAUCACACAAGGCAACCAUGGCAGUACAAUAAUCACAUGUGUGACAACAGUCAAACCUGGAUCAAGCAAUGUGCUUUACAUGACUUGAGAAGAUAAUCUCAACUGUUCCGCGAAGGGAAAUCAUUUGCAGUAUACAUUCUACAAAUAUACCUCGAGAUACAUUCAUCAUUGUGCAAUCAAGAAGUUGAAGGUUACCGGUCUGUCGAACAUUUGAUGCUUAUGUUUGUAUGAAGGCUGGUAUCUUGAUUCAACACUUAAUUAUGACUUUCUUGUAGUUUGAUACAAAGCAUUACUAUGUCGUUGAGAAACUUUAGGUUGAAGAGUCGCUGAGAAAGUUUUGGUUCAGGACCCCUCUGAAAAGUGGCCCAGAUGUUCCAUAUAGAUUUGGUGUGAUAGUUAUUGUCAAAUUUGCUCAGAAUAUAACUUGCAUGAUCAUGUCUGAAUUCCAACGUAAUUUUACUAUUGCAGUUUAUGAGUACUAUCACCUAGAAUUUUACUAUUGUGUUUAGGUGAUCUUGGUUAGAGUUUCAAAUCCAGUGUCACGCUCGCUCAUUACGAGUCCAAUUCAAAAGGCCAGGCAAUGCUUUUCUUCUAGGACCUAACAUAUGGAGAUAAUUACCCAUGUCAUGAUAAUACAAGGUGACAUAUGUGGGUAAGAUUUGUAGAGCGGAAUCUCGCAUACCAGCCUUGGAUCUCGACAGCUGGAAACCAUGAGAUUGGCUUUGCUCCUGAAUUUGGCGAAACAAAGUCAUUCAAGCCAUACAGUAGCAGGUAUCCCACACCCUAUAAGGCUUCCGGUAGCAAAACACCUUAGUGGUAUACAUAUGCUACCUCCCUGGUAGUGUCAAAUGACUUCAGACCAAUUCUUGUUAUGUAGAGGUGACAUUCAUCACCAUGAAGGGUCAAGAUGUUCCACAUCAAAGGUGUUUGCAGUUCUACAAGAGUUGAAGAAAGAAGAGGAUUUGGUGUUGUUAGUACUGCCUGAGAAGUGUCAAACUUGCCAAAGAAGGCAUGUCAAUUUUUUUCUUUGUGUUCUGAUGCCUAUAAAUAAACCCAAGAAUGUGAAAAGUGUUGGAGAACAUUUAACAAAAGCUAACCAGACUCAUGUCAGAAAACUAUUAUGGUAAAGAUAAAAUGUACUGUCUUUUAGAGAACUAUAUAACAAACUCGUUUACUAUGGUAGAAAAACGUAGUCUCAAUCUUGUACCUUUACCAAUAAACAUGGGAUAUGCUAGGAAAAAAUAGCACAUGAUAAAAGCACAUACUUCAAAUGAAUGAUCAUGUCUUCUUUCUAUAAAGGAGAACUCUUACCAUAUUGUGAUUGACUACAAGAAUUUUACUUCGUUAAUUUGUUUUCUGUUAGGCGGAAAAUAUGUUGUUGACAGGAAUUCAAAAAAACUUGAGGUGGUAGCAAAUGGGAAGCAGCUGAAUUUCUUUUGUCAAUUGUCAUACAGUUCAGGUAGUUAUUCGAGGUAUCAUCUUUUUAUAUAGAGGUACCUUCUGAACUGAACUUUGAACACUUGCAUGUAGCUUCUGAACUGAAUUUUAAGGGCAUGCACGCAACAUCAUUUCAAGCAUGGGGUUGACUUGGGGCAUCACACCAGUGAGGUCAGAGAUGACGGUUCAAGGCGAAAGCCGUCGACAAUGGCCAGGACGACAGCAAAAAACCAACACGACUUUCUCCCACAUGCAAGUGUUGAAUCAGUCGUUUGAAAUUUUGGUGUGACAUUUCUAUGCCCACUACGUGCCCGGGUGCAGCCGCCACUCCAUGCGUGCCGCAACGUCAGCCACCACCAACCCUCUUGUUUUUGCAUUGUUGCCACCACCGGCGUGGUAGCCCGUGCAGCCACCUCAUCAUGCAAGGAAACUGAAACCUCAGCCACCCAUGCCAUGUCCCUCGUGCGACGCGGGAUAUGCCUCAACGGGCGUGGAAACCGGAAACUCAGCAUCCAUUUCACAUGCAUCGGCAUGCACUCGAGUGUCCAGUGAGAACGAUGCAUUUUCCCAAUGGGACAUCUUUCCUCGGAAAAAUUUAUGUUCUUACAAGGAUAGUUUACAAGAUCGCGGUACUAUCAUAAUGGCUACUGGUAAAAUUGUUUUCAGUAGCCAUGGCAACGUCAGGUGAUCCUCCUUAUGAGCGGAACCACCAUGAUAAACAAAAGGGUCAAUAGAAUUCAGAAAGUUGCAGUUUA